UACGAACUGUGCAAACGUUAUUCGGAUUCACUGGGCUUAAAGGGUGCGUAGGCGGCCAUGUAAGUAGGGUGUGAAAUCCCCCCGGCUUAACCGGGGAACUGCGCCCUAAACUGUGUGGCUGGAGUGAGAUAGGGGUGUGUGGAACUUCCGGUGGAGCGGUGAAAUGUGUUGAUAUCGGAAGGAACGCCGGUGGCGAAAGCGACACACUGGGUCUCAACUGACGCUG
This 226-nucleotide ribosomal RNA is filed under the name uncultured bacterium. Its description in RNAcentral is "partial 16S ribosomal RNA". It matches the Rfam family "Bacterial small subunit ribosomal RNA", at positions 524 to 748 of the family's 1533-position model. The record is from RNAcentral.